GUCCUUUCGUGCAUUCCUCUUCAAUGAUUGGCACAAGAGCCUCUCUUGCCUUGGCCAAGUUGUCGGUUUCCUGUACUGUAUGCCUACGUCAAUGGAAUUUUUUGGCCAAUCGAUACCGAGUUUUCCCACUGYUGCCCGAUUACACGGUGCGGCAACGGGMAAACCUUGAAGCGAAAUUCGUGUUCCGAAUUGCAUAUAAAUUGCUAUACAGUCGGCCCACGAGCUAAGCUUGAUUUCGGGGAUUCRGAAAACACUGCAUGUAAGGGUCGGAUAACUCUAUAUUUGCCCACAAAUUGGCAUUACAUGCCCCAUUCGAUUGACGUUCGAUGUCUCAUAGAUGUUUUACAUCUGGCGACUCGAUGUCACUGAAGAAUGCUACCUGGUUGAUCCUGCCAGUAGUCAUAUGCUUGUCUCAAAGA
Molecule: unclassified non-coding RNA, 419 nt
Filed under: Psychotria sp. 3 LB-2013
Lineage: Eukaryota; Viridiplantae; Streptophyta; Magnoliopsida; Gentianales; Rubiaceae
Description: partial external transcribed spacer
Source: RNAcentral